CACACCGCCCGUCACGCCAUGGAAGUUGGUUCUACCUGAAGACAGUUCGCUAACCGCAAGGGAGCAGCUGGCUACGGUAGGGUCAAUGACUGGGGCG
This 97-nucleotide ribosomal RNA is filed under the name uncultured bacterium. Its description in RNAcentral is "partial 16S ribosomal RNA". It matches the Rfam family "Bacterial small subunit ribosomal RNA", at positions 1386 to 1482 of the family's 1533-position model. The record is from RNAcentral.